AUUGAACGCUGGCGGCAUGCCUUACACAUGCAAGUCGAACGGCAGCACGGGUGCUUGCACCUGGUGGCGAGUGGCGAACGGGUGAGUAAUACAUCGGAACAUGUCCUGUAGUGGGGGUAGCCCGGCGAAAGCCGGAUUAAUACCGCAUACGAUCUACGGAUGAAAGCGGGGGACCUUCGGGCCUCGCGCUAUAGGGUUGGCCGAUGGCUGAUUAGCUAGUUGGUGGGGUAAAGGCCUACCAAGGCGACGAUCAGUAGCUGGUCUGAGAGGACGACCAGCCACACUGGGACUGAGACGCGGCCCAGACUCCUACGGGAGGCAGCAGUGGGGAAUUUUGGACAAUGGGCGAAAGCCUGAUCCAGCAAUGCCGCGUGUGUGAAGAAGGCCUUCGGGUUGUAAAGCACUUUUGUCCGGAAAGAAAUCCUUGGCCCUAAUACGGUCGGGGGAUGACGGUACCGGAAGAAUAAGCACCGGCUAACUACGU
Molecule: ribosomal RNA, 484 nt
Filed under: uncultured bacterium
Lineage: Bacteria
Description: partial 16S ribosomal RNA
Rfam family: Bacterial small subunit ribosomal RNA
Source: RNAcentral